UUUGUGCCUAGUGCAUAACUUUUUUAUGCAUGAAGGUAUUUUAAAAUAACUUGGCACUCAUAUUGAUUUAUUUUGUAUUAAAGCUUGUAGAUGGGCACACACUAUUUGACUACAGUGUUGGACUCAAUGACCUCAUCCAGUUGAUGAUCAAAGCUCCUCCUCCUGCUCAGGACACAAAAGAGACCGAAAAAGAUGGUGAUACUAGAGAAAAUGGAUCAGAUAAAGAAAAUGAGCCUGAGAAAUCAGAAGAAAAAGAGAAAAGUGAUAUAGAUCUGCAAGACAGCACAUACAAGAUUGGAGAUGUGAUAGAUGCACGAGACAUUGCUAUG
Molecule: long non-coding RNA, 329 nt
Organism: Ruditapes philippinarum (Manila clam)
Lineage: Eukaryota; Metazoa; Mollusca; Bivalvia; Venerida; Veneridae
Exons: 3
Source: RefSeq, a predicted model, not a curated record